This is a long non-coding RNA of Mesocricetus auratus (golden hamster), 1078 nucleotides long. RefSeq lists it as uncharacterized. The transcript has 4 exons. NCBI's taxonomy places the organism in Eukaryota, Metazoa, Chordata, Mammalia, Rodentia, Cricetidae. The record is from RefSeq and is a predicted model, not a curated record.
GGUGCAAUUGAAGUACAAUCAUUUUCAAUGGCAGAAAAGAUAAACCAUAUUUUAUAAUAGAAGAGCCUUCACACAUGUCAGCAAUUAUCGUUCACUUUGAAGUGAUAAACAGAAGCCAUACAUCAAUUACUUAAAUGAACUUUGCAACACAGCUGAGGCAAAACCUACCAGCAGCUGUGAAUAAGAAAUGUCGGUGCUGCUCUAGGUGUAUGCCUUCAGCUCACAAUUCCAAUCAAACCAUGUGGUUUGGGCAGAAGAAAGAGUCUCCUGUUCUUUGAACACUGCAGAUGACAGGUCUAUCACAAUGCUCUCAAUGGAUGCUUUGAAAUAUCAGGAAGAAUUUCUUGUCUGCAGGGCAAAGAGUGGGAUGAUGUCACGAAAGGGGACUAGAAGGCAUGAGCAAGUCAGCAGAGGAGAGAGAAGCUGGGCAUGGAAGCCUAUACCUGUGAACCCAACGAGGAAGCAGGGAGAUCAGGAACUUAAGGACAUCUCUGCUGUGGAAUAAUCCUCUUGUGCACUGUCAAGGAGUGAAGUAAACAGUGAGGUGUGCGGCAGGAAGGCAGCUAAGACACCCAAGGACAAGAGGAGAACCCCGUAGGAGCUCCCAGGAUGGACUGAAAACUGGCUUGUGCUCAGGGUGGAGGCAUGAUAAUGUUGGAAGUGGCAAGCAAAGAAAAUCUACAACAGCUGCUCUGAGGAACUGGAAAGGAAUUUAACAAACAACGGAUAAAUAAAGCACUGACAAGCAGCAUUGGAAGCCCAAACAACAAGAGAUAACAUGAAUUUGCAAUGGACCAAGUCUGUGGUCUCGUAAGUUUCCAUGACACCAAGCAGGCUUCAUUAUAUGAUCACCUCAUCAACUUUCCCUUGAUACAUACAUUCUUUUUCCAUUUUUCCAGUCCACUUUUAAAUGCAUCCAGAAAUGAACUAAGAUUCCACAUUGUUGAUAAGAACCCAAUGUGUUUUACCUCGUGUCACAUCAUGACAGUAAUUUAUCAAAUAAAUAUUGUCUGUUCAAGUAAAAUUACUUGAAAAUAUCUUACACAAUUAUCAUAAUAAAUUUAAAAAUCCCUCCCAA